Molecule: ribosomal RNA, 1400 nt
Filed under: uncultured bacterium
Lineage: Bacteria
Description: bacterial SSU rRNA
Rfam family: Bacterial small subunit ribosomal RNA
Source: RNAcentral
GAAUUCGCCCUUAGAGUUUGAUCCUGGCUCAGGACGAACGCUGGCGGCGUGCUUAACACAUGCAAGUCGAACGGGGAUUAUUUUGACAGAGACUUCGGUUGAAGUCGUUAUAAUCCUAGUGGCGGACGGGUGAGUAACGCGUGGGUAACCUGCCUCACACUGGGGGAUAACAGUCAGAAAUGACUGCUAAUACCGCAUAAGCGCACGGGAUUGCAUGAUCCAGUGUGAAAAACUCCGGUGGUGUGAGAUGGACCCGCGUUGGAUUAGCCAGUUGGCAGGGUAACGGCCUACCAAAGCGACGAUCCAUAGCCGGCCUGAGAGGGUGGACGGCCACAUUGGGACUGAGACACGGCCCAGACUCCUACGGGAGGCAGCAGUGGGGGAUAUUGCACAAUGGGGGAAACCCUGAUGCAGCGACGCCGCGUGGAGGAAGAAGGUUUUCGGAUUGUAAACUCCUGUCGUUAGGGACGAUAAUGACGGUACCUAACAAGAAAGCACCGGCUAACUACGUGCCAGCAGCCGCGGUAAAACGUAGGGUGCAAGCGUUGUCCGGAAUUACUGGGUGUAAAGGGAGCGCAGGCGGGAAGACAAGUUGGAAGUGAAAACCAUGGGCUCAACCCAUGAAUUGCUUUCAAAACUGUUUUUCUUGAGUAGUGCAGAGGUAGAUGGAAUUCCCGGUGUAGCGGUGGAAUGCGUAGAUAUCGGGAGGAACACCAGUGGCGAAGGCGGUCUACUGGGCACCAACUGACGCUGAGGCUCGAAAGCAUGGGUAGCAAACAGGAUUAGAUACCCUGGUAGUCCAUGCCGUAAACGAUGAUUACUAGGUGUUGGAGGAUUGACCCCUUCAGUGCCGCAGUUAACACAAUAAGUAAUCCACCUGGGGAGUACGACCGCAAGGUUGAAACUCAAAGGAAUUGACGGGGGCCCGCACAAGCAGUGGAUUAUGUGGUUUAAUUCGAAGCAACGCGAAGAACCUUACCAGGGCUUGACAUCCAACUAACGAGGUAGAGAUACGUUAGGUGCCCUUCGGGGAAAGUUGAGACAGGUGGUGCAUGGUUGUCGUCAGCUCGUGUCGUGAGAUGUUGGGUUAAGUCCCGCAACGAGCGCAACCCUUAUUGUUAGUUGCUACGCAAGAGCACUCUAGCGAGACUGCCGUUGACAAAACGGAGGAAGGUGGGGAUGACGUCAAAUCAUCAUGCCCCUUAUGUCCUGGGCUACACACGUAAUACAAUGGCGGUCAACAGAGGGAUGCAAAACCGUAAGGUGGAGCGAACCCCUAAAAGCCGUCUCAGUUCAGAUUGUGGGCUGCAACCCGCCCACAUGAAGUCGGAAUCGCUAGUAAUCGCGGAUCAGCAUGCCGCGGUGAAUACGUUCCCGGGCCUUGCACACACCGCCCGUCA